This 429-nucleotide ribosomal RNA is filed under the name uncultured archaeon. RNAcentral's name for it is "bacterial SSU rRNA". It matches the Rfam family "Archaeal small subunit ribosomal RNA", at positions 474 to 903 of the family's 1478-position model. The record is from RNAcentral.
UACCAGCUCUUCGAGUGGUGUGGAUGUUUAUUGGGCCUAAAGCAUCCGUAGCUGGCUGGGCAAGUCCCCUGUUAAAUCCACCGAUUUAAUCGUUGGAGUGCGGGGGAUACCGUUCGGCUAGGGGACGGGAGAGGCAGACGGUAUUUUCGGGGUAGGGGUGAAAUCCUAUAAUCCCGGGAAGACCACCAGUGGCGAAGGCUGUCUGCUAGAACGCGCCCGACGGCGAGGGAUGAAAGCUGGGGGAGCGAACCGGAUUAGAUACCCGGGUAGUCCCAGCUGUAAACGAUGCAGGCUAGGUGUUUGGGCGGCCACGUGCCGCUCUAGUGCCGCAGGGAAGCCGUUAAGCCUGCCGCCUGGGGAGUACGGCCGCAAGGCUGAAACUUAAAGGAAUUGGCGGGGGAGCACCACAAGGGGUGAAGCUUGCGGUUU